GAUGAAGAACGCAGCGAAAUGCGAUAAGUAAUGUGAAUUGCAGAAUUCAGUGAAUCAUCGAAUCUUUGAACGCACAUUGCGCCCGCCAGUAUUCUGGCGGGCAUGCCUGUUCGAGCGUCAUUUCAACCAUCAAGCCCCAGGCUUGUGUUGGGGACCUGCGGCUGCCGCAGGCCCUGAAAACCAGUGGCGGGCUCGCUGUCACACCGGGCGUAGUAGAUUUUAUCUCGCUCAGGGCGUGCUGCGGGUUCCGGCCGUUAAAAAGCCUUUUUUACCCAAGGUUGACCUCGGAUCAGGUAGGAAGACCCGCUGAACUUAAGCAUAUCAUAAGCGGAGGA
This 335-nucleotide unclassified non-coding RNA is filed under the name soil metagenome. RNAcentral describes it as "partial contains 5.8S ribosomal RNA, internal transcribed spacer 2, and large subunit ribosomal RNA". The stretch from base 1 to 120 matches the Rfam family "5.8S ribosomal RNA", at positions 35 to 154 of the family's 154-position model. The record is from RNAcentral.